UACGUAGGGUGCGAGCGUUGUCCGGAAUUACUGGGCGUAAAGAGCUCGUAGGUGGUUUGUCGCGUUGUUCGUGAAAUCCCACGGCUUAACUGUGGGCGUGCGGGCGAUACGGGCAGACUGGAGUACUGCAGGGGAGACUGGAAUUCCUGGUGUAGCGGUGGAAUGCGCAGAUAUCAGGAGGAACACCGGUGGCGAAGGCGGGUCUCUGGGGAGUAACCGACGCUGAGGAGCGAAAGCGUGGGGAGCGAACAGG
This 253-nucleotide ribosomal RNA is filed under the name uncultured bacterium. RNAcentral's name for it is "partial 16S ribosomal RNA". It matches the Rfam family "Bacterial small subunit ribosomal RNA", at positions 524 to 776 of the family's 1533-position model. The record is from RNAcentral.